UCUUGACUGGUGGCAUCUCUCAGGGGGUCUUGCAGCAGAGGACUUUUGCCAUCAUCUGCUACCUGGCUGCUUUUUAACUGGAGGUCUCAGGGAUGGAGAGCGGGAUAUUCAUGCAAUGCUUGUGCCCUGUCCCUGAGCCCGUCGUCUUCCUCUCUUCUGUCCCUCACAGCCAACGGAACGACGCUCCCAAUUCACCCCUGUUCCUUGCUUCCUGCUGAGGGACUGGAAAUGGCUGAAGGUAAGUGAGGUGUUCCCUCGAGCAG
Podarcis lilfordi (Lilford's wall lizard) is the source of this 263-nucleotide non-coding RNA. Lineage: Eukaryota; Metazoa; Chordata; Lepidosauria; Squamata; Lacertidae. The record is from the annotation of a GenBank genome assembly.